UUUCUUUUUUGAUUGAAGCAUUAAAUAUGUAUCAUAAUUACGGAUCCGUAGCAAAAAUAAUGGUCUAAUUUGGACAUCGUAUGUAGAUAUUAUGGCUAUUUUACUAAGAAUUAGAUUGCCAGAUUUUUUUCAGUUUAAUUACGAAAUUGCCACUAGCAUCGUAUUUUAAAAACUUGCACUAUUUGCAAAUAUUAAAACCUACAUAUCUCAUUCAUUAUAAGGUCAAAUUGAGUGAUUCAAAAGCUUAAAUUGAUUAGAAUUUUACAAGUAAUCUAUUGGAGGAAUAAAAUAUGAGUUUUGGGGCCGUUUGGAACGAUAAACGAGGCAGAAUAACUGGAAGAAAAAUAUAUAAAGCUAGGGUUUGUUCAUUCGGUCAUAUUUUGAGUUUGGGAGCUCGGAUUUGGGUGAUUUCGGAGGCGAUUUUCACCAUAUAGAUUGAGGUAGGUAUUAUAUACUCCAUAUUGGUUAUAUUUCAUAAAUUC
RNAcentral lists this long non-coding RNA (482 nucleotides) under Nicotiana benthamiana. RNAcentral describes it as "long non-coding RNA (NBEN_LNC011997)". Lineage: Eukaryota; Viridiplantae; Streptophyta; Magnoliopsida; Solanales; Solanaceae. The record is from RNAcentral.